RNAcentral lists this long non-coding RNA (344 nucleotides) under Trifolium pratense (red clover). RNAcentral's name for it is "long non-coding RNA (TPRA_LNC003832)". Lineage: Eukaryota; Viridiplantae; Streptophyta; Magnoliopsida; Fabales; Fabaceae. The record is from RNAcentral.
UUGGAAUAAAUAUACCCAUGUUUGUUAUAAGGUUGACAUGAAAUUAUUCCUGGAUAUAAAGUUUCCUUGGAAUAAAAUAACUUCCAAUAACUUCUCUUAUUCCCAUGAUUUUAUUCCCAAGGAAAUGGGUGGGAAAGAAAAGUUCCCAUGAAAAUGGGAAUACAUUUUAAAUAACUUCCAAUAACUUCUCUUUUACCCACUUUUAUCAGUAAUUCCUAGGAAUGUAGUUAAUAUGAACCAAACCUGUUUUUUUUAAAAUACCUGGGAAUAAAGUUCCUAUUAUUAUUUCCUGAGAAUAUGAUUCCUGGGAGUAAAAUUAACAACCUUGAAACAAACGCCCCCUA